RNAcentral lists this ribosomal RNA (253 nucleotides) under uncultured bacterium. RNAcentral describes it as "partial 16S ribosomal RNA". It matches the Rfam family "Bacterial small subunit ribosomal RNA", at positions 524 to 776 of the family's 1533-position model. The record is from RNAcentral.
UACAGAGGGUGCGAGCGUUGUUCGGAAUUAUUGGGCGUAAAGCGCUUGUAGGCGGCUUGUUAAGUUCCGUGUGAAAUCCCCAGGCUUAACCUGGGAAGUGCGCGGAAAACUGGCGAGCUUGAGUGCCGGAGAGGGUCGCGGAAUUCCCGGUGUAGAGGUGAAAUUCGUAGAUAUCGGGAGGAACACCAGUGGCGAAGGCGGCGACCUGGACAACUACUGACACUGAGACGCGAAAGCGUGGGUAGCAAACAGG